UGGGGAAUAUUGCACAAUGGACGGAAGUCUGAUGCAGCAACGCCGCGUGCGGGAUGACGGCCUUCGGGUUGUAAACCGCUUUUUCUCAUGACGAAGUUUUUUGACGGUAGUGGGGGAAGAAGCACCGGCUAACUACGUGCCAGCAGCCGCGGUGAUACGUGGGGUGCGAGCGUUGUCCGGAAUUAUUGGGCGUAAAGAGCUUGUAGGCGGUUUGUCGCGUCGAUAGUGCAAACUCAGUGCUUAACGCUGAGCCUGCUGUUGAUACGGGCAGACUAGAGGAAGGUAGGGGAGAAUGGAAUUCCCGGUGGAGCGGUGGAAUGCGCAGAUAUCGGGAGGAACACCGGUGGCGAAGGCGGUUCUCUGGGCCUUUCCUGACGCUGAGAAGCGAAAGCGUGGGGAGCGAACAGG
RNAcentral lists this ribosomal RNA (408 nucleotides) under Fusobacteriota bacterium. RNAcentral's name for it is "Fusobacteria bacterium partial 16S ribosomal RNA". It matches the Rfam family "Bacterial small subunit ribosomal RNA", at positions 355 to 776 of the family's 1533-position model. The record is from RNAcentral. Lineage: Bacteria; Fusobacteriati; Fusobacteriota.